This 521-nucleotide ribosomal RNA is filed under the name Habronattus sp. MACHAL. Its description in RNAcentral is "partial 16S ribosomal RNA". It matches the Rfam family "Bacterial large subunit ribosomal RNA", at positions 1825 to 2706 of the family's 2925-position model. The record is from RNAcentral. Lineage: Eukaryota; Metazoa; Arthropoda; Arachnida; Araneae; Salticidae.
UUCUAUUAGAAAUAAUUAAUAGUAAGAUCUGCUCCAUGUCUUAUAAAUAGCCGCAAUUUGUGCUAAGGUAGCAUAAUCAUUUGUCUUUUAAAUGAAGACUAGAACAAAAGAUUUAACAUUUUCAGUUCAUUUUCCUAAUUUACAAAUUUCAAUUUAUCUUAAAUGUAAAAAGACAUUUAUUAAAAAAAAAGACGAUAAGACCCUAUUGAACUUAACUGUAGUUAAACUGGGGCAGUUAAUUAAUUAUUAUUUUAAUAUAAAUUUUUUUCUAAAAAUCUAAUAAAAUUAAAUAAUUAAGUUACCAUAGGGAUAACAGCGUAAUAAUAUUCUAAAGAUCUUAUUUAAAAUAAAGAUUACAACCUCGAUGUUGAAUUAAUAACCUAAUUAAAGCAAAAUUUAAAAAAGGAAGUCUGUUCGACUUUUUAAAAAUUACAUGAUUUGAGUUCAGACCGGCGUAAGCCAGGUCGGUUUCUAUCUUUUAGAAACAUUUCUACAGUACGAAAGGACCUAAAUAUGCAAUA